This 98-nucleotide ribosomal RNA is filed under the name Caerostris darwini. The record is from RNAcentral. Lineage: Eukaryota; Metazoa; Arthropoda; Arachnida; Araneae; Araneidae.
AACGGCCGUACCAUGCUGAAUAUACCGGUUCUCGUUAGAUCACCGAAGUUAAGCAUCAUUGGGCGCGGUCAGUACUUGGGUGGGUGACCACCUGGGAC